Molecule: long non-coding RNA, 496 nt
Filed under: Gallus gallus (chicken)
Lineage: Eukaryota; Metazoa; Chordata; Aves; Galliformes; Phasianidae
Source: RNAcentral
GAUGGAUUAGCAGGGUACACACAUAAAAUAUAAAAGUAGCAUGGAAGCCCAACAUAUCAAAUUGUACAUCCAGGGGAAUCCCAGACCCUGGAAGUAGGAGAGAGAAUCUGAUCCUGGGCACGUCAACACUGAAGAAAAAAAGAAAACAUGAAAUGUUGGAAAAUGCAGACAGUUUCUCCUUACACAGGUCAUCAAUUGCUAUGAGUCAGAAGAGGAAAAUGGAAUUCAGGAUGCUGGGCAAACAUUAAUAUUACUCACAAAUGAGCUGUAAAUUUCCCUGUUAAAAAGGUAACAAGAAGUUUAUAUGAGAUGUUUGAAUGGCACAAUAUUAUUCAGGAACUGCUUGCAAUUGAAUGUGGCACCUAUGAUAACAUAAGUUCAUGCAUUGUACAAAAGCAAGGGGAAGUACCAGUAAAGUACUAUAUAAUACUUAUUAUGAAACAGCAAGUUAAAUAACAAAUUCUGGAAACAAAUAAAACUUUGUUUAGUAUUGCUA